Non-coding RNA from Fukomys damarensis (Damara mole-rat), 102 nucleotides. The record is from Rfam. Lineage: Eukaryota; Metazoa; Chordata; Mammalia; Rodentia; Bathyergidae.
AUCCUUUUGUGUUUCAUAAGCAUGACAACUGGGGUUUUGUAAUACUGUGCAAGGUGUGUCUUGUUCAAACCUUGUUAUGAUAAGCACAUUACCCACCUGAUA